AGAGACUCAAAUAAAUUAGCAAGAAAAGACCCCAAACAAUCCCAUCAAGAAGUGAGCUAAGGACACGAAUGGAUAAUUCUCAAAAGAAGUUACACAAAUGGCCAAGAAAUGUAUGAAAAAAUGCUUAACG
Molecule: long non-coding RNA, 130 nt
Organism: Cebus imitator (Panamanian white-faced capuchin)
Lineage: Eukaryota; Metazoa; Chordata; Mammalia; Primates; Cebidae
Exons: 3
Source: RefSeq, a predicted model, not a curated record